UACGGAGGGUGCAAGCGUUAUCCGGAUUCACUGGGUUUAAAGGGUGCGUAGGUGGGAAUGUAAGUCAGUGGUGAAAUCUCCGUGCUUAACAUGGAAACUGCCAUUGAUACUAUGUUUCUUGAAUUUUCUGGAGGAUAGCGGAAUAUGUCAUGUAGCGGUGAAAUGCUUAGAUAUGACAUAGAACACCAAUUGCGAAGGCAGCUAUCUACGGGGAUAUUGACACUGAUGCACGAAAGCGUGGGGAUCAAACAGG
This 253-nucleotide ribosomal RNA is filed under the name uncultured bacterium. RNAcentral describes it as "partial 16S ribosomal RNA". It matches the Rfam family "Bacterial small subunit ribosomal RNA", at positions 524 to 776 of the family's 1533-position model. The record is from RNAcentral.